Long non-coding RNA from Grammomys surdaster, 769 nucleotides. RefSeq lists it as uncharacterized. Lineage: Eukaryota; Metazoa; Chordata; Mammalia; Rodentia; Muridae. The record is from RefSeq and is a predicted model, not a curated record. The transcript has 3 exons.
GCAUGCGCGGCCCUCGGCUCGGCCCGGGCGCACCUUUUCUCUCUCCUGCCACAAUGUGAGCGCUCAGCGGAGCAGAUAACCGCCGGCUGCCUGCUCCACCCCCGGCCCUCGCCCACUCCGCCCACUCCCGAGCGCCCAGACUGAGACAUGAUUCUGGAGAGAAGCUUCACUGCAAAGAGCCAUACCUGCCAUGUUCCUUGUAUUGUGAGCAUUUACACUGGUCUUUAGUCUCAGGUGAGUUCUUCCAUGUUGACAGGUGACAACCCUACAGAAAGCUUUCCGGCAUGCUUUAGAUUCCCAGUUUCUUCCUAAGGUGCACACUGCUGUUUGGAAUUCCCUGGACCGAAGGCUUCCCCACAGAGGAUGCUGACUGCAGGAAUGGAGGACCUUUUACCACUGCAGAAGAACAAUGUGGUGCCUACGGGGACAUGGCAUGUGAACAUUCUCCAUUCCUCCCAGCGAGGCACUCUGGACAAUGUGAAGAGCCCAGCAAGGGAAAGCUCGAGGAGAGCAAGGUGGGCAGCAGAGCAGGAUUUGGGGAAACUGUGAGCACUGCUCUGUCUGACCCUCAGUACAUCCGUCUCCAUCAGUAUCUACCCACCCUGCUCAAGCAUGCCCCUUACUCACUCCGUGGCAACUGGCCUAUCUUUCCCCCAACGUCAAAAGAGCUAAUUCAGCGACUGUCAUAGUACUUGGUCCAUAGCCUCUAUUCUAAAUAUGCCUGUCAAAUUAAUUGGCUAUAAACAUGGAAAGGUUUUUCUUGAAAAGG